Non-coding RNA from Pelobates cultripes (western spadefoot toad), 209 nucleotides. Lineage: Eukaryota; Metazoa; Chordata; Amphibia; Anura; Pelobatidae. The record is from the annotation of a GenBank genome assembly.
CAUCCUAAGACAAGGUAGGGGCUACUUUGCCUCGUGAAGGAUUGUUGGCAAAAAUGGAUUCCUCCAACGUAUUCUGACAUUUCCAAUCACCUAUCAGUCACGACAUCUUCUAGCAUGAUGUGCAUGAUGUUAAUGACAUGUUAUGGCACAUGUAUGAAAAGAUCUAUGAAAUAUCCUAUGGUCUUGUGAAAUCUUCUACACACCCCCAU